AGGGCGUACGGCGAAUGCCUUGCCACUCGAAACUGAAGAAGGACGCGCCAAACUGCGAAAAGCUCCGUGAAGCUGUAAGGAAGCGAAGAAGCGGAGGUGUCCGAAUGGGGGAACCCGGCAGCAGACAUGAGCUGUCAUCUGCAGGUGAAUACAUGGCCUGCAAGAGAGGUACCCGGCGAACUGAAACAUCUAAGUAGCCGGAGGAAAAGAAAACAACAGUGAUUCCCUGAGUAGCGGCGAGCGAAAGGGGAGAAGCCCAAACCGGUUGAAGGACCGGGGUUGAAGGACCAUGACAUGGCAAGAACGAGGAUAGGAGAACGGGAUCGAAAGCCCGGCCGAAGAAGGUGAAAGCCCUGUAACCGAAAUCCGAGUAAAGCCUAAUGGGAUCCUGAGUACGGCGAGACACGAGAAAUCUUGUCGGAAGCAGGCGGGACCAUCCGCCAAGGCUAAAUAUAAACGAGUGAGCGAUAGUGAACCAGUACCGUGAGGGAAAGGUGAAAAGAACCGCGGGAGCGGAGUGAAAGAGAACCUGAAACCGUAUGCCUACAAGAAGUCAGAGCCCGUUAAGGGGUGAUGGCGUGCCUUUUGUAGAAUGAACCGGCGAGUUGCGACAGACUGCGAGGUUAAGGAGGAAAGACCGGAGCCGAAGCGAAAGCGAGUCUUAAGAGGGCGAAAGUAGGAUGUUGCAGACCCGAAACCGGGUGAUCUAGCCAUGAGCAGGUUGAAGUUGAGGUGAAACUCAAUGGAGGACCGAACCGACUACCGUUGAAAAGUUAGCGGAUGACUUGUGGCUAGGGGAGAAAUUCCAAUCGAACCCGGAGAUAGCUGGUUCUCCCCGAAAUAGCUUUAGGGCUAGCGUCGGAAAGAACCUUAGUGAAGGUAGAGCACUGAAUGUGUGAUGGCCCCAUCCCGGGGUACUGAAUACAAUCAAACUGCGAAUGUCAUUAAGGAUGUCCGGCAGUCAGACUGUGAGUGAUAAGGUCCAUGGUCAAGAGGGAAACAGCCCAGACCGCCAGUUAAGGUCCCAAAAUACAGGCUAAGUGGAAAAGGAUGUGGGGAUGCCCAGACAACUAGGAGGUUGGCUCAGAAGCAGCCAUCCUUUAAAGAGUGCGUAACAGCUCACUAGUCGAGUGACCCUGCGCCGAAAAUGUACCGGGGCUAAGCCUGAUACCGAAACUGCGGAUUGUAGGAAACUAUAGUGGUAGGGGAGCGUUGUAUACGAGCAGAAGCCGUACCGUGAGGAGCGGUGGAUUGUAUAGAAGUGAGAAUGCCGGUGUGAGUAGCGAGAUGUAGGUGAGAAUCCUACACACCGAAAGCCCAAGGAUUCCAGGGGAAGGUUCGUCCGCCCUGGGUAAGUCGGGACCUAACGCGAGGCCGAAAGGCGUAGUGGAUGGAAAGCAGGCGAAAGAUUCCUGCACCCGUAUAUGGAGCGAAGGAGUGACGGAGACGGAUAGUGUGACCCUCUUAAUGGAUUGAGGGCGAAGCGAAGCGGCUGGUUACCAGGCAAAUCCGGUAACCAUAAGGCUAGAGCGUGACAGGUAAGCGAAAUCUUCGGAAAGUAGCGAAGCACAUGAUGACGGCUUCCAGGAAAAGCUUCUGGCAAUGCAUAUGCGGCCCGUACCAAAACCGACACAGGUGGGCAGGGAGAGAAUCCCGAGGUGAGCGAGAGAACUGUUGCCAAGGAACUCGGCAAAAUGACUCCGUAAGUUAGCGAGAAGGAGUGCUUAAGCAAUUAAGCCGCAGUGAAGAGGCCCAAGCGACUGUUUAACUAAAACACAGCUCUCUGCGAAGUCGCAAGACGAAGUAUAGGGGGUGACACCUGCCCGGUGCUGGAAGGUUAAGAGGAUCUGUUAAGAGCGAUCUGAAGCAGUGAUCCGAAGCCCCAGUGAACGGCGGCCGUAACUAUAACGGUCCUAAGGUAGCGAAAUUCCUUGUCAGGUAAGUUCUGACCCGCACGAAUGGCGUAAUGAUUUGGGCACUGUCUCAACAGCCCGCCCGGCGAAAUUGUAGUACUGGUGAAGAUGCCAGUUACCCGCAACUAGACGGAAAGACCCCAUGGAGCUUUACUGCAGCUUAAUACUGAAAUUCGGUAGUACAUGUACAGGAUAGGUGGGAGACUGAGAAAUACAGGCGUCAGCUUGUAUGGAGUCGCUGUUGGGAUACCACUCUUGUACUGCUGGGUUUCUAACCUGCGGCCGUGAAUCCGGUCGGGGGACACUGUUAGGCGGGCAGUUUGACUGGGGCGGUCGCCUCCCAAAAGGUAACGGAGGCGCUCAAAGGUUCGUUCAGCACGGACGGAAAUCGUGCAAUGAGUGUAAACGCAUAAACGAGCCUAACUGCGACACCGACGGGUGGAGCAGUAACGAAAGUUGGAGUUAGUGAUCCGGUGGUAUGUGAGUGGAAAUGCCAUCGCUCAACGGAUAAAAGUUACCCUGGGGAUAACAGGCUGAUCUCCCCCAAGAGUCCACAUCGACGGGGA
RNAcentral lists this ribosomal RNA (2479 nucleotides) under human gut metagenome. RNAcentral's name for it is "bacterial LSU rRNA". It matches the Rfam family "Bacterial large subunit ribosomal RNA", at positions 14 to 2514 of the family's 2925-position model. The record is from RNAcentral.